GAGUUUGAUCCUGGCUCAGAAUGAACGCUGGCGGCGUGCUUUACACAUGCAAGUCGAGCGAGGCGUGUAGCAAUACACAGUCGAGCGGCGAACGGGUGAGUAACGCGUGGAUAACCUGCCCUUCAGUGGGGAACAACCGGGGGAAACUCCGGCUGAUACCGCAUACGACCGAGAGGUGAAAGGGGCCCGCAAGGGUCUCGCUGAUGGAGGGGUCCGCGUCCGAUUAGCUAGUUGGCGGGUAAUGGCCCACCAAGGCUACGAUCGGUAGCCGGCCUGAGAGGGUGAUCGGCCACACUGGAACUGAGGACACGGUCCAGACUCCUACGGGAGGCAGCAGUGGGGAAUUUUGCGCAAUGGGCGAAAGCCUGACGCAGCAACGCCGCGUGGAGGAUGAAGGUCUUUGGAUUUGUAAACUCCUGUCAGCAGGGAAAAGCGACCUGACCUCAUACGUCAGGGA
Molecule: ribosomal RNA, 457 nt
Filed under: uncultured Acidobacteriota bacterium
Lineage: Bacteria; Pseudomonadati; Acidobacteriota
Description: bacterial SSU rRNA
Rfam family: Bacterial small subunit ribosomal RNA
Source: RNAcentral